GCCAGACUCCUACGGGAGGCAGCAGUGGGGAAUAUUGCACAAUGGGGGAAACCCUGAUGCAGCGACGCCGCGUGGGCGACGAAGCGCUCCGGCGCGUAAAGCCCUGUCAGCAGGGAAGAACAAAGACAGUACCUGACCAAGAAGCCCCGGCUAACUACGUGCCAGCAGCCGCGGUAAUACGUAGGGGGCAAGCGUUAUCCGGAUUUACUGGGUGUAAGGGGAGCGUAGACGGCAUAGCAAGUCUGAAGUGAAAGCCCGUGGCUCAACCGCGGAACUGCUUUGGAAACUGUUAAGCUGGAGUACUGGAGAGGCAAGCGGAAUUCCUAGUGUAGCGGUGAAAUGCGUAGAUAUUAGGAGGAACACCAGUGGCGAAGGCGGCUUGCUGGACAGAGACUGACGUUGAGGCUCGAAAGCGUGGGGAGCAAACAGGAUUAGAUACCCGAGUA
This 446-nucleotide ribosomal RNA is filed under the name uncultured bacterium. Its description in RNAcentral is "partial 16S ribosomal RNA". It matches the Rfam family "Bacterial small subunit ribosomal RNA", at positions 330 to 792 of the family's 1533-position model. The record is from RNAcentral.